AGUGAACGCUGGCGGCGUGCCUAAUACAUGCAAGUCGAACGCGAAAGUCCUUCGGGAUGAGUAAAGUGGCGCACGGGUGAGUAAUACAUGGGAACAUGCCCUUGGAUGGGGAAUAACGUUUGGAAACGAACGCUAAUGCCGCAUAAUCUCGCGAGAGUAAAGGUGGCGCCGCAAGGGCUACCGUCCAAGGAUUGGCCCAUGUCCCAUUAGCUAGUUGGCGGGGUAAUGGCCCACCAAGGCAACGAUGGGUAUGUGGUCUGAGAGGAUGAUCACACACACUGGAACUGAGACACGGUCCAGACUCCUACGGGAGGCAGCAGUAGGGAAUAUUGCACAAUGGGGGAAACCCUGAUGCAGCAACGCCGCGUGAGUGAAGAAGGCCCUUGGGUUGUAAAGCUCUUUAGCGUGGGAAGAAGGUAGAUACGGUGAAUAAUCGUGUUUGCUGACGGUACCACGAGAAUAAGCACCGGCUAAUUUCGUGCCAGCCGCCGCCGUAA
Molecule: ribosomal RNA, 497 nt
Filed under: uncultured bacterium
Lineage: Bacteria
Description: partial 16S ribosomal RNA
Rfam family: Bacterial small subunit ribosomal RNA
Source: RNAcentral